RNAcentral lists this ribosomal RNA (840 nucleotides) under uncultured Bacillota bacterium. RNAcentral's name for it is "bacterial SSU rRNA". It matches the Rfam family "Bacterial small subunit ribosomal RNA", at positions 75 to 914 of the family's 1533-position model. Lineage: Bacteria; Bacillati; Bacillota. The record is from RNAcentral.
UGUAGCAAUACACAGUCGAGCGGCGAACGGGUGAGUAACGCGUGGAUGACCUGCCCUGGGGUGGGGGAUAACUCGGGGAAACUCGAGCUAAUACCGCAUAGGAUCGAGAGAUCAAAGGGGGCCGCAAGGCUCUCGCCAUGGGAGGGGUCCGCGUCCGAUUAGCUAGCUGGUGGGGUAAUGGCCUACCAGGGCGACGAUCGGUAGCCGGCCUGAGAGGGUGAUCGGCCACACUGGAACUGAGACACGGUCCAGACUCCUACGGGAGGCAGCAGUGGGGAAUUUUGCGCAAUGGGCGAAAGCCUGACGCAGCAACGCCGCGUGGAGGAUGAAGGGCCUUGGAUUGUAAACUCCUGUCAGCGGGGAAAAAGGGAGGUGACCUCAUACGUCAUCGACUUGAUUGUACCCGCAGAGGAAGCCCCGGCUAACUCUGUGCCAGCAGCCGCGGUAAUACAGAGGGGGCAAGCGUUAUUCGGAAUUAUUGGGCGUAAAGGGCGCGUAGGCGGCUUUGCAAGUGACGGGUGAAAUCCCACGGCUUAACCGUGGAACUGCCUGUCGGACUGCAUGGCUUGAGACCAGGAGAGGUGAGUGGAAUUCCCAGUGUAGCGGUGAAAUGCGUAGAUAUUGGGAGGAACACCAGUGGCGAAGGCGGCUCACUGGACUGGUACUGACGCUGAGGCGCGAAAGCGUGGGGAGCAAACAGGAUUAGAUACCCUGGUAGUCCACGCCGUAAACGAUGAGUGCUUGGUGUAGCGGGUAUCGACCCCUGCUGUGCCGAAGUCAACACAUUAAGCACUCCGCCUGGGGAGUACGGUCGCAAGACUGAAACUCAAAGGAAUUGAC